This 569-nucleotide small RNA is filed under the name Pan troglodytes (chimpanzee). RNAcentral describes it as "processed transcript". Lineage: Eukaryota; Metazoa; Chordata; Mammalia; Primates; Hominidae. The record is from RNAcentral.
CCCCCCGCCUCUGACUUCUCUGUCCGAAGUCGGGACACCCUCCUACCACCUGUAGAGAAGCGGGAGUGGAUCUGAAAUAAAAUCCAGGAAUCUGGGGGUUCCUAGACGGAGCCAGACUUCGGAACGGGUGUCCUGCUACUCCUGCUGGGGCUCCUCCAGCGCUCCUUGUUCCCUCCCUGUACACCUCCCUGCAGGCAGCAGCUAAGAAUGGGAAGGAAGACCUGAUUCUCUCCUCCGACUUGGCUUUCCCGCUGAAACUAGCCCCUCCCCGCACACCCGGGGAGAGCCGCCCUCACUCCCUGGCUCGCCCAGUUUACCCCAGUUUGGGUUUCCCCAAGUCUCUAAGACAGACGUCUCUGCGGGCUGCGGGGAGAUGUGGGGAGGGCCCCCUCCACUUUGGAGGGCAGUGAAGGAGAGGGAUCCUCUAAAUUGUCGAGGCUUCAUCUCUCCAGAUUGUAUGCCCUUCUCAGCAACACCGCCUCCGGCCCUCCGAUGGGAAAGUGGAGGCCGGGUGAGACGGGGUCCCUCCUGGCUUCAGCAUGAAAUGGGCAGGAAGGCUGGAGGGGUGU